RNAcentral lists this unclassified non-coding RNA (306 nucleotides) under uncultured fungus. Its description in RNAcentral is "sequence contains ITS2". The stretch from base 1 to 52 matches the Rfam family "5.8S ribosomal RNA", at positions 103 to 154 of the family's 154-position model. Lineage: Eukaryota; Fungi. The record is from RNAcentral.
AACGCACCUUGCGCUCCUUGGUAUUCCGAGGAGCAUGCCUGUUUGAGUGUCAUGUAUUCUUCAGCCCAUCUGGAUUUUUUCUGAAUGGAGCUGGAAGUGGAGGUUGCUGGCCUUUUUUGAUUUAAAUGUCUGCUCCUCUUAAAUGCAUUAGUGUGAAUGUUAUCAAAUGUUCCCCAGUGUAAUAAUUUAUUUGCAUUGUUGGUGCUUUUGAUGGUUUAUCUGUUCAUACUUCUAAACAGUCCUUCAAUUGGACAAUAUAAUUUUGCAUUUGACCUCAAAUCAGGUAGGAUUACCCGCUGAACUUAA